Molecule: ribosomal RNA, 424 nt
Filed under: uncultured Butyricicoccus sp.
Lineage: Bacteria; Bacillati; Bacillota; Clostridia; Eubacteriales; Butyricicoccaceae
Description: bacterial SSU rRNA
Rfam family: Bacterial small subunit ribosomal RNA
Source: RNAcentral
UGGGGAAUAUUGCGCAAUGGGGGCAACCCUGACGCAGCAACGCCGCGUGAUUGAAGAAGGUCUUCGGAUUGUAAAAAUCUUUUAUCAGGGACGAAGAAGUGACGGUACCUGAUGAAUAAGCUCCGGCUAACUACGUGCCAGCAGCCGCGGUAAUACGUAGGGAGCAAGCGUUAUCCGGAUUUACUGGGUGUAAAGGGCGAGUAGGCGGGUCGGCAAGUUGGGAGUGAAAUGUCGGGGCUUAACCCCGGAACUGCUCUCAAAACUGUAUCCCUUGAGUAUCGGAGAGGCAAGCGGAAUUCCUAGUGUAGCGGUGAAAUGCGUAGAUAUUAGGAGGAACACCAGUGGCGAAGGCGGCUUGCUGGACGACAACUGACGCUGAGGCGCGAAAGCGUGGGGAGCAAACAGGAUUAGAUACCCUGGUAGU